UACGGAGGGUGCGAGCGUUGUCCGGAAUCAUUGGGCGUAAAGGGCGCGUAGGUGGCCCCUCAAGCGUGCGGUGAAAGUCAGGGGCUCAACCCCUGAUCGGCCGUGCGGACUGGGGAGCUUGAGCACUGUAGAGGCAGGCGGAAUUCCGGGUGUAGCGGUGGAAUGCGUAGAGAUCCGGAAGAACACCGGUGGCGAAGGCGGCCUGCUGGGCUACUGCUGACACUGAGGCGCGACAGCUAGGGGAGCAAACAGG
Molecule: ribosomal RNA, 253 nt
Filed under: uncultured bacterium
Lineage: Bacteria
Description: partial 16S ribosomal RNA
Rfam family: Bacterial small subunit ribosomal RNA
Source: RNAcentral